Molecule: ribosomal RNA, 84 nt
Filed under: Serratia marcescens
Lineage: Bacteria; Pseudomonadati; Pseudomonadota; Gammaproteobacteria; Enterobacterales; Yersiniaceae
Also listed under: 3 other names
Source: RNAcentral
CCUGGCGGCAAUAGCGCGGUGGUCCCACCUGACCCCAUGCCGAACUCAGAAGUGAAACGCCGUAGCGCCGAUGGUAGUGUGGGG